UUAUCAUGAUAGAAAUUGUAACAAAUUCUUUCUCACAGACUGGACUUACAGAUGAUCCAAAUAGAAAAUCAUGUGAGAAAUCAGCCUGAAAGUACUAGAGGGAGGAUGGAUCAGAGGGGAUGGGGAAGGAGAAAGAGAAAGUAAAGAGAACGACAGACAGACAGACAGACAGACAGACAGAGAAAGAAUGGGGACAAGGGGAGGUUUUAGGCAUCUAUUAGGAAAAGCAGAAGAAAAAUUCCUGGAGAAUCAAGUUAUUCUGCCCUUCUUAGAGCAAAAGACCAGAAAUGGCAUUCAUCUAUGGAAAUAAAGGUCAAAGAGUGCAUAUAAUCUGUACCAGUCAAGCAGCUAGAGGGAAAUGGGGUUCUAAUUCUCACAUUUGGUCCAGUGGAAGGGAAUGCUUUUCUCCUCUGAAACUGCUUUAACUCCACGUUUGUUGAAGCCGCACCUGCCUUUGUCUGAGUUCUCCAGAGCCCCUCUCCCUCUGCGUUUGUUUACUGUCUCUUCCUCUGCCGCCCACAUGGCAUUUUCCUUUACUUACAGGAGUCCUAAAGACCCGAAACAGCAGCAAGCAGAUUAAAAAUUAAUAAAAGUCUCAGAGGGAGAGUACCAAGAGGCGGCUGGCUCUGUGAUCGGCAAUUUUUUGAGGUUCUUUAAAUACCCAAUUAUUUUCAGGACCCCUACAGAACAGAAACUACGGGACAUGGGAAAUAGGUUUUCAGGCCAGAGGGAAUAUAUUUUUAAGCAAAAAUUCUUUUAACUUGGAGACGAGAAGAAUUAUGUUUUAUAGUACUGCUCUUCAUUGCCAACCCCUCUCCCCCAAAUCUCUACCUAUUCUUUUUCUCUCUUUUAUAGUUUCAGGUGAUGCACCCAGCAGGAGUGAGGAGGAUUUAUCUUCAGUGUAACGUCAUUAUUCUACAGUGUCUCUUCAUUUGCCCAGGAGGUUAUCAGGGAAGUCUGAUUUUCUUUUCUCAGUGUCCCAAGCUUCUAGCUGCUUCCCAGUAUACAAUAAAAAUUUCUGGACUCUUAUUGCUGAAUCUUGCCUCAUUCUGUUCUAAGUUCACAAACUGCUUUUUCUUCUUGUAGCAUGUCUUUUCCAAUAUGCUAGAGUUAGACUAGUAAUUUAAAUCAGGAAGAAAGGCCACACUCAUGGCAUAGGGCCAUUCCCGAAUUGAAACCUAACUUCCAUAUUUAGACUUUGGUAGUGGCAUUUUGAAAUCAGUAGGUAUCUAAGGUAUGCCACUGAGGACUGCAAAAGUUUUUUACCAUAAAAAGCUUUUAGAAGAGUAAGUGCUCAAUGGUGUUUAAUAAGUGCUUUCUAUUAUCAUUGAUGUUGACUUAUGAGCUCGAGACUCAGGCAGCACUUUUUCAAGGAUAACCUUAAG
RNAcentral lists this long non-coding RNA (1385 nucleotides) under Ovis aries (sheep). Its description in RNAcentral is "lncRNA (ENSOARG00000026514.1)". The record is from RNAcentral. Lineage: Eukaryota; Metazoa; Chordata; Mammalia; Artiodactyla; Bovidae.